RNAcentral lists this ribosomal RNA (497 nucleotides) under uncultured bacterium. RNAcentral's name for it is "partial 16S ribosomal RNA". It matches the Rfam family "Bacterial small subunit ribosomal RNA", at positions 28 to 507 of the family's 1533-position model. The record is from RNAcentral.
GAUGAACGCUGGCGGCGUGCCUAAUACAUGCAAGUCGAGCGAACAGACGAGGAGCUUGCUCCUCUGACGUUAGCGGCGGACGGGUGAGUAACACGUGGAUAACCUACCUAUAAGACUGGGAUAACUUCGGGAAACCGGAGCUAAUACCGGAUAAUAUAUUGAACCGCAUGGUUCAAUAGUGAAUGACGGUUUUGCUGUCACUUAUAGAUGGAUCCGCGCCGCAUUAGCUAGUUGGUAAGGUAACGGCUUACCAAGGCGACGAUGCGUAGCCGACCUGAGAGGGUGAUCGGCCACACUGGAACUGAGACACGGUCCAGACUCCUACGGGAGGCAGCAGUAGGGAAUCUUCCGCAAUGGACGAAAGCCUGACGGAGCAACGCCGCGUGAGUGAUGAAGGUCUUCGGAUCGUAAAACUCUGUUAUUAGGGAAGAACAAAUGUGUAAGUAACUAUGCACGUCUUGACGGUACCUAAUCAGAAAGCCACGGCUAACUACGUG